ACGCCAGCUGCUAAGCGGAGGGAGGAUGUCUGGGUCGCGCGCAGAGGCCGAGGAGAAGGUGGGCUCCAGACAGCGACUCCAGGUGAAUGAAUAUAAGGAAAACCAAAACAUCGCUUAUGUGUCUCUGAGACCAGUACAGACUACAGUUUUAGGAAAAACAGCUAAGGUGUAUCUUGUUCCCUUUUCACUCAGUAGCUACAAGCCAGAUCAACUUAAGCGCUCCAAAUCCCUAUUAGAUAAGAAUUCUAACAAUGAAGUGGCAUGUAAGAAAUGUAAGAAGGCUGAAAUAAAGAAAACUUGCAGAAGGAUUUUAACCCCAAAGAUGGAAGCCACAUCUUCCAAGGCAGAAUCCACUCUGCAAAAAUCAUCCUUAGAUGUUCAUGCUGAAAGUAACAAGUGGCAAUACAAGAGCACUUCAGAUACAGUGAUUCUCAGUGCUGAUACAGAAAGCAGCCAGGAUGGAGACAGUGAUGAAGGUACCACACCAGGCAUGGAUGAUUUUUCAGGAUUGUCACCAUACGAAAAGAAGAGACUGAAGAACAUAUCAGAAAAUGCAAACUUUUUUGCUUCUCUUCAGUUGUCUGAGUCAGCUGCAAGACUCCGUGAAAUGAUAAAGAAGAGACAGCCUCCUGAAUCCAAAAGGUUGGACAAGAUGGCAAGAGUGGGCUGCUGUUGGGUAUUUCCCUUCCCCAGAAAGAAGCCUAAGAAGAAAGAAAAUGAGACUGGAUGUAGAAGGUCAAUGCGAUUACUAAAAGUCGAUCCUUCAGGAGUUUCAUUACCAGCAACUCCAACCCAGCCAAUAUUAGUAGCAGAUGAAAAUCCUUUGUUACCUCCUGGACCUUUAGAAAUGACUUCUGAAAAUCGAGAUGAUAACAGUGAACUAUUUAAAGGAUUUCUGCAGACUUGGGCAGAAGUGAGCAAGACAAGAAGUAAAAACACCGAGAAGGAGUUAUCUAGCAUUAAAAGCUACAAAGCCAAUUUAAAUGGCAUGAUCAUUAGUGAAGAUACUGUUUAUAAAGUUACCAAAGGCCCAAUAUUCUCAAUGGCUCUCCACCCAUCAGAAAUUAGAACUUUGGUGGCAGCUGGGGCCAGAUCUGGACAAGUUGGGCUUUGGGAUUUGACUCACCAACCUAAAGAAGAUGGAGUUCAUAUUUUUCAACCCCAUAGUCAACCAGUUAGCUGUCUUUACUUCUCGCCUGCCAAUCCAGCUCACCUGCUGUCACUGAGCUAUGAUGGCACAUUACGCUGUGGGGAUUUUUCCAGAGCUGUUUUUGAGGAGGUAUAUAGAGAUGAAAGAAGUAGCUUUUCCUCCUUUGACUUCUUGGCAGAAGACGCCUCCACUUUAAUAGUAGGUCACUGGGAUGGAAGUAUGUCACUAGUGGAUAGGCGGACGCCUGGAACUUCUUGUGAGAAACUUAUCAAUUCUUCUUUGAGCAAAAUAAGAACUGUACAUGUCCACCCAGUGCAUAGACAGUAUUUUAUCACUGCGGGAUUAAGGGAUAUUCAUAUUUAUGAUGCAAGGUUCCUGAAUCGCAGUAGAAUCAAGCCUUUGAUUUCUUUGACUGAACACACAAAGAGCAUCGCUUCUGCCUAUUUUUCACCUCUUACUGGUAACAGAGUAGUAACCACAUGUGCUGAUUGUAAGCUGAGAAUCUUUGACAGCAGCUGUAUAUCCUCAAAGAUUCCUCUUCUCACCACCAUCAGGCACAACACCAUUACUGGGAGAUGGCUGACCAGGUUCCAAGCUGUGUGGGACCCUAAACAAGAAGACUGUAUCAUAGUCGGCAGUAUGGCCCAUCCACGGCGAGUGGAAAUCUUCCAUGAGAGAGGAAAGUGGCCCCAUUGAUCUGCCGGGAAAGCAGCAUCAGCUCCAGGCUGUGCUCGGCCACAGGGGUGGGCAGCACGCUGUCUGCAGGGCUGUAGGCCUCAUCCGCGAUCACGGCGACUCGCUCAUUGCUGUCUGCCCGGCUGCUUCUCACGUGAGGCAGGAAAGUGUCCCCGUGGGAGGAGGGCUCAAAGUUCUAGUAGGGAAGAACAGGAGCUGGUUACCCCCCUCAACCAAACAGCAGCCACCCAGGCCAGAGGAUGUCAGAGCUGAGUCACCAAGUGUGGCCCAUGUCAUAGUGCUCCCAAGGAAAUGGCUUCUUGUUUUCAAGUUCAGUGUCUGUAUUUUCUACUCCUGGCCAUAUUGGUGGUUCCAGAGUGGCUUUCCCUGCUUUUGUGGUCCACAUCAAGAGAAGCUCGUCCCCUUCUGUUGCUCUGAAAUCGACCCUGACUGCCCCAGACAGCUGGACACCCAGCUAGUAAAGGUAAGACCUAACCAGGGCCAAUUACGGAGUUUUCUGGUUCUGGGCUGGCUUCAGAAGCCCCAAGGUCUCUUUUAAAAGGUGCCAGUAACAUUUCAGAAAUAGUGUAUCUCGUCUUCCUUGGCUUCCUUGGUAGGUAGCCAGUUGCAGCCAGGCCGCCUGCCUGCCCAGCCUGCUGUAGCCCGUCUCGGCAUACACACAGUAAAAGAUUCUCCAUAGGAACGAACCCUGGGUUACGAACGAGUGGCUGGCAUGGGCAGGGGAGGUGGCAGCCCCCUGCUAUCCGCCUCUGCUCCCCACCACCUCACCAUUAGUAUAUUAGCAGCAGCUCUCAGCUCCUGCUUUCAGAAGCUGCACGGUCCUGGCUGUAUUUCCUUUGUCCCUAUGCUAUAAGAUACUUAAAUUUGUAUAAUGUUUAAAACUUUUUAAAGCGCUUCCAUUUUAUCUUUAAACAACUUCAUGAAGUGGUGAGGGCAAGAGGUUACAGUCACGUGGUUGGUUGUUACUGGCAAAGACAAGGGUAGAAUCCAAGCCUCUUUCUAUUCCAUGGUGCUAAUGAUCAUGCAGCUGGAUUCCGGGGAGUGGAACAACAGGCCAGGAUGAAUUAAGUCAACAGCCUGCACCUGCCUUAGACUUAGGUCCCAAUUGCCCAAGAAACUGUUGUGAAAUAAGGUGAAAUUAAGAGCCUGUCCCUUGUUCCAGAGCCUUUGAUGUUCCUCUGUUCUCUGUUUUCCCCAGUGUUCCUCCCUUCUUCCCUCAUUUGCAUGUGUGUAGCAUGAGAAACACGUACCUGGGAGUGUGAAAUGGGUUUCGGAUAAAACAAACCUUUCCAGGCUCUGAUCUUACAUGUUGCUGGCUCAGCUCCUUUCCCAAGUACUCUUCUGGCUCCCUGUUCUCUGGAACCUCAGCCCUGUUGCACAGGGCACCUCACACCCUUUCAAGGGCUGUCCCCUCACAAGGACAGCUCUGACUACCAGAUCUUCCAAUGUAUGACCAGCAUAGCUGCCGGAAGCCACUUAGUGCAAUCAUAGCCUGGCCUACAAUUCAGCCCCAAGCCUGCUGGGGAAGGUGAGGGGCAAAGGCUGUGACAUCAGAAAGAGCUAAUCAGUGGGACACCAGAAGCCACAUUACAGUGAGUUGUUGGUGCUCUCAGUAAACAAGAUAAUGGCUACAUAUGUAUUUCUAAGUAGAGAGCCUGACAAACAAAAUUACUCAGUAAAUGUUAGUCUUCUGUUCCCCCAACAGACCUCACCUAUAAAGUUAAGGUUAUUCCUAUGCUAGGUUAGUCCUGUACAGAAUUUCAGGUUUCACUAGAAACCACCACUCGCCUCAAACCUGUUAUUCUGGGAUGGCUGGGGUGGGUGCCGUGGGUGGGAUCUGGGUGAGUGGCACAGCAAAACAGAGGGUGUCUUUUUACCUUGGAGGUGCUCCAGCUGAUCGCCUUGCCCAGAGGUGGCUCCCAGUGGGCCAGCGGGCACAGUGGUCAGGAGCCUACCCUGGAGCCGGGGCCCCAUCCUCAGGAUGCGCACACUCAGGGGCCGAAGGCAGUGAUUAGUCAACCGGAGCUGAACUCGGACUCUGGUGUGAAUCUUAAUCAGACUCUUCCCCAUAGUGGCCCAGGAAGGCAGGUACUUCUUCAGUGGAAAUCAGCUGAUCUCUUCAUGGGAACCAGCCAGGCGGGGAAGGUACAGAGGGAAAGGAUGGGAAACCAACUGAUCUCACGCCAUGGCAGCCCUUUCGCAGUGCCUCCCAUGCUGGAGAGAAAAGGUUGGCUCUGAGAGUCUCAGAGCAGACUGAGCUGCAGGGAAAGAGCAGCUCUGAGAGGCCAGCGUUAUCAGGGGACUGGAUUCAGUCAGAAGGACUUACAGCUAUAAAAGGUAAUGGUUUCCCAGCCAGUAGCUGUUUCCCUGAGGCCCGUAUAAGGGCCCCAGACCUCUCAGAGGGUGAGGAACAGAGAGGGCAGGGAAUAAUCCCAGAGAGUAGGGGAAAUCGGGACUGUACCAGAAAAUCCAGGAUGUGAAGCUACAAAGAAAAUGGCUUUGGGUUGGGUGGCUCUGAAGUGUAAGGCGGUGGCUCUGGGGCUGGAAAUGGGCUGCGUCCCCUCCUCCACUGGGAUCUACGCUAUUUGUCUGGCUGCCCCAUGGGGCACAAUGGGUGAAAGGAACUGACAUACCUGAAUGUCCUCUCUGCGUCAGGCCUGUGCUAAUAACAUGUGUUAUCUUGGCAUCCCCUAGAGCAGAGAGCAGGGCCAACCAAUGCAGUCUUCUUUUUAAGGGUCUCAGUUCAUUGAGAUUACAUGGUUUCAUUCAAACUGUAACGUUACGUUAAUGUUUUUUGCAAUUUUCCCCACUGUUUUUGGAGAUAGCAAACAAAGCUUUCCCCUGGAAAAGGCAAAUGGUUUCUGUGAUAUUAAUUUAUGUGCCAUAUGGACUAUAGGAAAGACAAUCCCUGAUGGAGCGUGAACGAAUUUCAAAUGUCCAUAACUUCCUGGGCGUUUUGAUGGUUUGUGUCCUUCCUCUGAGGUCCCCAUUGAGUCCCUCUCACCCUUCCCUGCCUGGUUGGGGUGAACAGUGAGGGUCAGCCGUGUUAGGUGCUUUAAAGGCAAAACCCCCUCUUGAGAGAUGAUGCAGCUGAACUCUCACCUCCUGAAAUAAUCCAUUCUUUAUUUCCCCAGGCUUGAUGAUCCCUGCACUGAUAGAGCUGCUCAACUGCUAAAAUCUUGUAUUUUUUUUCAUAUCCAAACCAGAUGUACAUCUGCCUCUCCUCACCCUGAAUUACAUUCUGCCUGUGAGUUUCAUUCCUGCCAGGGCAGUUCUGAGCUUCUACCCACGCCCUUCUGAGUCUAAUGGGCCUCGAGGGCCAUGACCAAGGAUGAAGACUGUGCUUGUCUAUAGGCACCACUGGGCAUGGGGUGUAAGGAGCACGUUGGCUUGGGGAGUAGCACGUGGAGGCCUGCUGUGUUAUAAUCUGCCAGGUGUGAAGUUCUGAGCCUAAGCUUUUGAGGCCGUGCCCUGGCCCUGGGGUGGGGGUGGGGUCUCUGCUCUAAUAGCUUUCUGCACCCUCCCCUGGCAUUUUGUAAGCAUGGGUGACAGUUUUGGAUGUUGAGGAGCCUACUGCUGCUACAAUGGGAGAAGACAGGUUCUGGGAGGAGGCUGAAGGCACAGCCAGAACUGGUUGGGAACUGAGGCAGCCUCACAGCUCGUCUUGGGGGAGCUUGAGGAUGGUUCUCCCCACCUCUGAGUUGUUUUGCUAACCCUGCUUGGCAGCUACUCCAAAUGAGUUAUAUCCCCACAUGGAUGGCCUCAGUCUUCCCUCUUCUGGGAGUGCUGGUUUUACUGGACAUUCUUCCAUAUGCUGGGGAGCAGUAAUGCCUGAGGCUGCUCUCCUAUGCGAUACCUGCAUUAGGGCCAGCUUCCCCCAGGGGCUGGCCUUUUCUCUGGGAGGACAGCUGUCCCGACUUUCUGCAAGAGCCUUGGGAUGAACCUGGUGGCUUCAGCCUCAGGACAGACGGGAACAAGGGCCACAGAGAGGGGAGAAAGUUAUGCUUCCUCAAAAGAGGAGAAGACAGUCCACUUUCCUGAGAUGCACACCCCAAAAUAAGAGAGCUGGGCUCACUUCUCCCGCUCAGCCUAAGAUAGGAGGGAAAACCAGGGGGCUGUGUCUGAUGAUGGCCAGACCUCAAUAAUUCCAUACCUUGCAUAGCCAUUAUACUUGGGAGUUUCCAAGGCACCUUCCCCCACCCCCCACCCCUUUCUACAGUGGGGGCAACAGGCUCAGAGAGGUUAAGCAACCUGCCCAGAAAAUGUGUGGCAGAGCUCCUAUUUUGACCUCAUCCUUGACUUCCUGACCAGGGCUCUUUGCAUUGUGCUUGCUGCCUACCCAGUAAAUGCUUUCAUCUCUUUAAAGUACUUGCAUGUACAUCAGCUUCCUUGAAAUCCAUGGGGUUUUACAAAUGGAGCAACUAAGGUACUCACAUAAAUAAGGCCUUUGAUGGUGGUUCUCUCCCAAAGGUUUAGUCUAAUACUCUCAGAUCUACAAACCCCUCCUGGACCACAGCUCAUCAGGGCUGGAUGGGAUUACCCUUCACCUGACACCCAGCUGGUGUUCCCAUUGACUGGAUGAAACAUUCUCCCUACCAUUGGAGAAACUUGCUGCUGUCUCUAGUGAAAUUCACUUCUUUUCAAGGUCCCUGUGAGGAACCGGUCCAGGUGACAACUUGGAGGAACCCCAGGUCCUCUCCAGAGCUCAUGCUCACCUUCCAUGAUGGAGAUGUGAACAGCUCUUCUCCGGGUCCUGGGGACGCUGCUCAGCCUUGGGCCAUGGGUUAUGGAGGGACAGCUGCGGCUGGGGACCAUCCCUGCUCUGAGGUUAAAGAAAAAAAGAAUUCUGUUGACUUAGUGCACUGACAAAUGUGGUCAGGGCUCAGAGUUGAGGACUGGUUACUAGAAUUGCCUGGCUGUGUUAAGGUUUGUUUUGUUUUUAAAAAUCUUUAAUACCUGCUUUCUGCCUUUAGUCCCUGAAUCCCAGUCAGAGACACUACUUCAAACUUGUCAACCUCCUUAUAUCCCAGACCUACCCGAAACUUUCUUUAGUGUGGCAGUGGUGCCGCUGGUCCCUGGGCAGGAUUGUCAGAGGGUAGAGCCCCAGGAUAUGCGGUGCUCCUAAAAAUGUGCCUAAGACUGAUAUGCGGCCUCCCCUGACUUCCCACAGAGGGCAGGGGGGUCCGUGUGAAGGCAGGUAGUAAUGCUCCCAUUCCCAGAGGUCAGUCUGGUUGGCAAGCCCCAGACCUUUUGGCCAAUCAUAUUCUCCCUCAGUCUUACCAGGUUUUAGGAGAUGGCCUCCUGGAAAUUUAUGAUUUACAGUUACACAUAAAGCAUGGAUCCUGAAACUAUUUCAGACCUAGUGUGACUGGCUUCCUGUAAUGCACUGUUUCCAGAGCCAAUGAAAUCUUGCUGCUUGGGCAUGUCCUCCAAGGUCUAUGACCAAUUUCAGGACUUGGGAUGAUGGUAGAGAAUUACCCAGGAAGGUGGCUCCUGGGUCUGAUGUACUGUCUGCAUUAGCCCACCUUCCCUCAUUCUCCAGGGUCAUCCUGUUCCCAUGCCUUUGGCUGAGAUGGGUCUCUUCACCCUGCUGACCUGUUUGGAAGCCAUCAUGGCCAGAAUCUUCACAGUACUCAAACUGCUGGCUCUUUUAAGAGUCCUAGAUCUGAGCUGGACCUGGUUUGGGGAUAAGCCCCUGGUGCCUACCUGUGUAUUUCUGGUGGCUCCCGUUUGAUCUUGGCACUGGACUCCAUCACUUCCUUUGCAACUCGGCCACUAUAAGUAGUAUAAAUAAAACAAGCAGCAAGAAAUGAGACAGUGUUCCAGGACUGAGCUCCUCUGUAAGAUCUCAGAUACUUGAGCUGAAUUGGGAAGUGGCCUCUUUGGCCUACCCCUUCUCAAUGUUUAGGCCACUGAGUAGGGCUUGCUUGCUGGGGUAAAGAGCUCUAAGGCGUCCUGACAGCUCUCUGUCUCUGAGGUCUUUGGGAUCUUCCAUCCUCAUUUACGAAUGAUUCCUCAUUGUCCAGCGUGUUCCAGAAAUAUUGCAAAAAAAUGAAAUCUUUAGAUAGAAAUGAAAGGAAUCACUCUUACAGUUCUUAUUUUGCUGCUUUUGUAAGGGCAGGAGAAGACACUCAUUUUAACCCCUACAGGCAAACAGCUGCAGGGAAGGAAAGAAAUAGUCAAAGGGUUAGGAGACAGGAGAAUCGGAUGGAAACCUCACACUUCUCUGGAGGUUCCCAGUGUCUUUGUUCUCAGGAUAAGGACCACUGGGCCACCCUUCUCCAGAGAAGGUCUGAAAAUAGGUCCAUAAUGGUUACUUACUGUCACUAUUUACCUGUAUCGGAACCGGCUCCCUUUAAAGAAUAAAUUGCUGCUGGACACUGUGCGGACUUGGCUUGACUUCUCCAGCCUGCAGCAAGGCAAAGUCCAGUGUGAGAGAUGGUCUGCAAUGCCUUACAGCCUAAGGCUGUGUCCCCAGCUCCUUCCAAAGGCUACUUGAAAAAACCCCUCAGGAAAAGGCCUUUCACAGCCCUGCUUGUCUCUGACUCCUUUAGCACCUGAGGGCCGUGUUCACGGUCUCAGUGCUAUGGACAGGCGUGCUGCAAUCCACUUCCACGUUAGGAGAGUGAGGGCUCCCCAAGAGUGCCUCAUGGGUUCACCAUGGGGACUGAGAGAAUAAAUGUUAGGGAAAGAGAAUGCCACCUGCUGAAUCUCAGCCAGGCCACUGGUUAGCAGUGUGACCCUGGGCAAAUUUUUCCUCUCUUAGCCUCAGUCUUGUCUAUAAAAUGGUGGAGCUGGGACUGCUUGACCUCAGGAGUCCCUUCCAGUCCUAGUGUUUGAGAAUUCGUGUCCAUGUCUGGGUAACUUGGGUGGAGAAGAGAGUAGUGCCCUUCCUAUUCCAUCUCCUUCUUGGAGAGAACCUAAAGUAUAUUGUCACAUUAGAGACUCUGAGAAGUCGCGAAAUGAAGAAACUAGCUGAACUUUAAUAAAAGUUCCACCAUUUGUUUGAACUUGGAACCAUUUGCCCUCCCCCAGAAAGCCCAUUAACACCACUUUCAAGGCUGUGAACAGCUGAGGUGGAGACUCUGGAAGCCACCCUUGAGUGACUGCUCUGAUCCCUGUACUCCUCUCACUUAGAAAGGGAAGCAUGGGCAGAGCUGCCCAGAUUGAAUCUCCUAAGACCUGACCCCAUCCACAACACGUCCUGGGUGCCUGUAGUGCUAACCCAGCUGGGAACUGAACUGGUCUGAAGCCUUUGUCCUGAGCGGGCAGUGAAUAUUUAGGGAGUUGUCCCUAUAAUCCAUGAACAGCAGGUGCUGGGGACACCAUCCCCACCUGUCUCAGGGCUCCAUGAGGCUCUGAGCCUACUUACUCUCCUGUCUGAGCACAUUCCUUUUCUUUCUUUCUUUUUUUUUUUUGGUUUAAAAUAUUUAAUACGUGUUAGACACGUAAAGUUAUUUUUUUCUGAGCACCUUCUUGAGCCUGACCGGCUCCCUUCAAAGCACUAGGCCAAAAGCGGGGCAGGGAUCUGCCCAUGACAGACACUCUGAGUGAGGCCGAAGUGGCUCCUGCUAGCGACUUGGCAUAAAUGAGGGUCUGACCCAGGCUAGAGGCUUUUAACACCUAAUUAGUAGUCAUGGAGAACAGUGAAAAGCGGCCUUGCUUUCCAGUGUGGAUGUGGGCAAUCUGUUAAGGAAAGACUCAGAAACUGAGUUUGGUCACAGGCUCAGAAGCACAAUUCUGUUCCCAUGGCUCAGAUGGAAAAACAAAGGAGGGCCUCCAGAAAUGGUGCUGAAAUGUUUUCUCGGCUUUCC
Molecule: non-coding RNA, 9660 nt
Organism: Delphinapterus leucas (beluga whale)
Lineage: Eukaryota; Metazoa; Chordata; Mammalia; Artiodactyla; Monodontidae
Source: RefSeq, a predicted model, not a curated record